GAUGAACGCUGGCGGCGUGCCUAACACAUGCAAGUCGAGCGGAGUCAUAAGUUGAUUCUUCGGAUGAUUUUUAUGACUUAGCGGCGGAUGGGUGAGUAACACGUGGGUAAUCUGCCCUGCACAGGGGGAUAACAGCUGGAAACGGCUGUUAAUACCGCAUAUGCACACGUUAUCGCAUGAUAGAGUGUGGAAAGAUUUUAUCGGUGCAGGAUGAGCCCGCGUCGGAUUAACUAGUUGGCAGGGUAACGGCCUACCAAGGUGAUGAUCCGUAGCCGGCCUGAGAGGGCGACCGGCCACAUUGGGACUGAGACACGGCCCAA
RNAcentral lists this ribosomal RNA (320 nucleotides) under uncultured bacterium. Its description in RNAcentral is "bacterial SSU rRNA". It matches the Rfam family "Bacterial small subunit ribosomal RNA", at positions 28 to 334 of the family's 1533-position model. The record is from RNAcentral.